GACGAACGCUGGCGGCGUGCUUAACACAUGCAAGUCGAACGGUGAAGCGCCUUCCUUUUUGGUGGGUGUGGAUGAGUGGCGAACGGGUGAGUAACACGUGAGUAACCUGCCCCCUUCUUCUGGAUAACCGCAUGAAAGUGUGGCUAAUACGGGAUAUUCUGGGUCUGUCGCAUGAUGGGUCUGGGAAAGAUAUUGUUUCGGUGGGGGAUGGGCUCGCGGCCUAUCAGCUUGUUGGUGGGGUGAUGGCCUACCAAGGCGGUGACGGGUAGCCGGCCUGAGAGGGUGGACGGUCACACGGGGACUGAGACACGGCCCAGACUCCUACGGGAGGCAGCAGUGGGGAAUAUUGCACACUGGGCGCAAGCCUGAUGCAGCGACGCCGCGUGAGGGAUGGAGGCCUGCGGGUUGUGAACCUCUUUCGCCAGUGAAGCAGGCCUGCCUCGUUUGUGGGUGGGUUGACGGUAGCUGGAUAAGAAGCGCCGGCUAACUACGUG
RNAcentral lists this ribosomal RNA (494 nucleotides) under uncultured bacterium. RNAcentral's name for it is "partial 16S ribosomal RNA". It matches the Rfam family "Bacterial small subunit ribosomal RNA", at positions 28 to 507 of the family's 1533-position model. The record is from RNAcentral.